This 253-nucleotide ribosomal RNA is filed under the name uncultured bacterium. RNAcentral describes it as "partial 16S ribosomal RNA". It matches the Rfam family "Bacterial small subunit ribosomal RNA", at positions 524 to 776 of the family's 1533-position model. The record is from RNAcentral.
UACGUAGGGGGCAAGCGUUGUCCGGAAUCAUUGGGCGUAAAGAGCGCGUAGGCGGCCAGAUAAGUCCGCUGUGAAAACUCGAGGCUCAACUUCGAGCUGUCGGUGGAAACUAUUUGGCUAGAGUCCGGAAGAGGAGAGUGGAAUUCCAGGUGUAGCGGUGAAAUGCGUAGAUAUCUGGAGGAAUACCGGUGGCGAAGGCGGCAUCCUGGACCAUAACUGACGCUGAGGCGCGAAAGCUAGGGGAGCAAACGGG